This 404-nucleotide ribosomal RNA is filed under the name uncultured bacterium. RNAcentral's name for it is "bacterial SSU rRNA". It matches the Rfam family "Bacterial small subunit ribosomal RNA", at positions 355 to 775 of the family's 1533-position model. The record is from RNAcentral.
UAGGGAAUAUUGGGCAAUGGGCGAAAGCCUGACCCAGCAACGCCGCAUGUGCGAUGAAGGCCUUCGGGUCGUAAAGCACUUUUCUGAGGGAUGAGCAAGGACAGUACCUCAGGAAUAAGUCUCGGCUAACUACGUGCCAGCAGCCGCGGUAAAACGUAGGAGACUAGCGUUAUCCGGAUUUACUGGGCGUAAAGCGUGUGCAGGCGGUUCGGCAAGUUGGAUGUGAAAUCUCCCGGCUCAACUGGGAGGGGUCGUUCAAUACUACCGAACUUGAGGGCAUCAGAGGAAGGUGGAAUUCCGGGUGUAGUGGUGAAAUGCGUAGAUAUCCGGAGGAACACCAGUGGCGAAGGCGGCCUUCUGGGAUGCUCCUGACGCUCAGACACGAAAGCUAGGGGAGCGAACGG